CACCAACUACCCUGAACCAGAACAAGCCUCACCACCAGAGCAACGCCUACGGCCUCUGCUUUAUUUUUAAUGCUAAGAUCUCUCCAAGAGGAGCUUAGGCCUGAGUAACAUAACCUGCAGUGUAUGUGGAAACAUGCUUUCCAGCUGAGCGUGUGCAAACAAAUAGACCCAGAGGCUGCACUGAGCUCUUUGCUCAGAGGAUCUGUCAAUGGAGGGAUAAGGAACACUUCCAUCCCAUGGGAAGAGAACACGCGAAGAUGAAGGAGAGAGAGAACAUAGGGAGUAUGGAAAGGAGCAGAACCUCAGGAAGAAGAGUCCACCUUGGAAAGGAAGGGGUUCCCAUGCCCUUCUGAGAGGAGAGAUGAAGAGAAUUUGGGGCUGGUGGUUUGGAGAGAGAGAGCCGUGGGAGGAACUGGAGGAGAUCAGGCUGAAAGGACUGGAAGGGCUAAAAAUCUUGAAUGUAAAUCACACUGGAAAGGGAAGAGUCUCUUCAUGCUGAGUAACUGCCAUUUCCAGAAAAGGUGUGUAGAAAAGAG
RNAcentral lists this long non-coding RNA (536 nucleotides) under Equus caballus (horse). RNAcentral's name for it is "lncRNA (ENSECAG00000043664.2)". The record is from RNAcentral. Lineage: Eukaryota; Metazoa; Chordata; Mammalia; Perissodactyla; Equidae.